RNAcentral lists this ribosomal RNA (465 nucleotides) under Vreelandella stevensii. RNAcentral describes it as "partial 16S ribosomal RNA". It matches the Rfam family "Bacterial small subunit ribosomal RNA", at positions 338 to 795 of the family's 1533-position model. Lineage: Bacteria; Pseudomonadati; Pseudomonadota; Gammaproteobacteria; Oceanospirillales; Halomonadaceae. The record is from RNAcentral.
CCUACGGGGGGCUGCAGUGGGGAAUAUUGGACAAUGGGGGGAACCCUGAUCCAGCCAUGCCGCGUGUGUGAAGAAGGCCCUCGGGUUGUAAAGCACUUUCAGUGAGGAAGAACGCCUGGUGGUUAAUACCCAUCAGGAAAGACAUCACUCACAGAAGAAGCACCGGCUAACUCCGUGCCAGCAGCCGCGGUAAUACGGAGGGUGCGAGCGUUAAUCGGAAUUACUGGGCGUAAAGCGCGCGUAGGUGGCUUGAUAAGCCGGUUGUGAAAGCCCCGGGCUCAACCUGGGAACGGCAUCCGGAACUGUCAAGCUAGAGUGUAGGAGAGGAAGGUAGAAUUCCCGGUGUAGCGGUGAAAUGCGUAGAGAUCGGGAGGAAUACCAGUGGCGAAGGCGGCCUUCUGGACUGACACUGACACUGAGGUGCGAAAGCGUGGGUAGCAAACAGGAUUAGAUACCCUAGUAGUC